UAGGUAGCGAGCGUUGUUCGGAGUUACUGGGCGUAAAGGGUGUGUAGGCGGUUGUUUAAGGCUGGUGUGAAAUCUCCCGGCUCAACUGGGAGGGUGCGCCGAAUACUGAAUGACUCGAGUGUGGGAGAGGUGAGUGGAAUUCCUGGUGUAGCGGUGAAAUGCGUAGAUAUCAGGAGGAACACCGGUGGUGUAGACGGCUCACUGGACCAUAACUGACGCUGAGACACGAAAGCGUGGGUAGCAAGCAGG
RNAcentral lists this ribosomal RNA (249 nucleotides) under uncultured bacterium. Its description in RNAcentral is "partial 16S ribosomal RNA". It matches the Rfam family "Bacterial small subunit ribosomal RNA", at positions 528 to 776 of the family's 1533-position model. The record is from RNAcentral.